GGGUAAGGGUUUGAGUUGGUAGGGUAUUGUCGAGGUUUGGGUCUUGGGAUAGGGUUUUGAUUCCAGGUGAAGGCAGUUUCCCCCUCUUUCUUUUUAAAUUGCGGGUUCUUCUCACUAGUCCCCUGUCCUUGCAAAGCAUCCAACUGAGUUUUCAGGGCAGACACAUUGACGAUCUUCCCAGCUUUCACGAAGUCAUCGUACUCCUCAAGUUUAUUGACAAUGGCGGCAAACGAGCAUCCAGUCAUGCGGAAAAUUUCUUCAAAGUACGGGGGAUCGUGUGCCUUAAUGAAAGUCCGUAUGAUUUCGUCCUCAGUCAUCGGUGGCUCGGCUUUGGCAGCUAUUGUCCUCCACCUCUUGGCAUAGGUCUUGUGAUCCUCGGAUGGUUUUCUUUUUGUUCCUUCCAACGUGGUUCGUGUCGGAGCCAGCUCGCAGUUAUACUCAUAUUGCCUUACAAAAGCAUUGGACAAGUCCAGCCAGGUCUUUGCUUCUUCGGGUUUCAGCUUGGAAUACCAGUCGAGUGCAUCCCCCUCCAGACUUUCUGGGAAUAGCCUCAAAGGCAGAUUUUCAUCAUCUGUUGGCCUACCCAACUUGUUGGCGAACAAUCGGAGGUGUGUCUUGGGAUUGCCCGUUCCAUCAUAUUUGCUGAAUUUCGGGGUUUUGAAUCCCUCAGGCAAUUGAACAUUUGGAAAGAGACACAGCUCGUCGUAGUCCAGCACUCCUUGUUUGCUCAAACCCUGACUCUUUCUCAUGAAUUCAUCAAAACGGUCAAGGCGUUUGAGCAGCUUUGUAUCAACGGGAGCGGAAGGUCCCCCCAUUUCUGGCUUGGCUUGAACAGUAGAGUCUGGUAGGAAUGGCUCAGCAGCCGGGUGAUAAAAGGUAUGUGGCUCAGGUGGUAUAUUUGAAGUGAUUUGGGGUGGUGGACCUCGCGUGUGAGUAAGAAAAAAUGAAGGAUGAGGAGGGUAAGUGUAUGGCAAAUGUAUGGUGGGAUAGGUGAAAGUUUCUCCGGGUGCAAGAGGAAAUGAUGGAGGAACAGUGGCAUGGGCCGAAGGUAGGACAAAUGGCCCUUGCUCAGGCUGUCGGGCGGGUACAGGUUCGGGUUGAACUCCGCUGCUAAUUAGCUCAUUAUUCAACUUCCUUUGGGCGGCCAUCUCAUACGCCAUCUCUCCAAACUUGGUAAGCAUCUCAGUCAACUGAAUCCCCGAACUUGCAGUCUCGGGUUGAGCGGUAGUAGCAGACCUAUCUAACUGUUCCGGUUGUGAAGGAUGAGGAGGGUAAGUGUAUGGCAAAUGUAUGGUGGGAUAGGUGAAAGUUUCUCCGGGUGCAAGAGGAAAUGAUGGAGGAACAGUGGCAUGGGCCGAAGGUAGGACAAAUGGCCCUUGCUCAGGCUGUCGGGCGGGUACAGGUUCGGGUUGAACUCCGCUGCUAAUUAGCUCAUUAUUCAACUUCCUUUGGGCGGCCAUCUCAUACGCCAUCUCUCCAAACUUGGUAAGCAUCUCAGUCAACUGAAUCCCCGAACUUGCAGUCUCGGGUUGAGCGGUAGUAGCAGACCUAUCUAACUGUUCCGGUUGUGAACUCAUGUUUACACGACUCCUCUGGGCUUGACUACGGGAUCG
RNAcentral lists this long non-coding RNA (1613 nucleotides) under Coffea arabica (coffee). RNAcentral's name for it is "long non-coding RNA (CARA_LNC005720)". The record is from RNAcentral. Lineage: Eukaryota; Viridiplantae; Streptophyta; Magnoliopsida; Gentianales; Rubiaceae.